AGCCUACGGGAGGCAGCAGUAGGGAAUCUUCCACAAUUUUCUAAGGCCUGAUGGAGCAACGCCGCGUGGGUGAAGAAGGUCUUCGGAUCGUAAAACCCUGUUGUUAGAGAAGAAAGUGCGUGAGAGUAACUGUUCACGUUUCGACGGUAUCUAACCAGAAAGCCACGGCUAACUACGUGCCAGCAGCCGCGGUAAUACGUAGGUGGCAAGCGUUAUCCGGAUUUAUUGGGCGUAAAGGGAACGCAGGCGGUCUUUUAAGUCUGAUGUGAAAGCCUUCGGCUUAACCGGAGGAGUGCAUUGGAAAG
RNAcentral lists this ribosomal RNA (305 nucleotides) under uncultured bacterium. Its description in RNAcentral is "bacterial SSU rRNA". It matches the Rfam family "Bacterial small subunit ribosomal RNA", at positions 335 to 633 of the family's 1533-position model. The record is from RNAcentral.